UACGUAGGGUGCAAGCGUUAAUCGGAAUUACUGGGCGUAAAGCGUGCGCAGGCGGUUUUGUAAGUUUGUCGUGAAAUCCCCGGGCUUAACCUGGGAACUGCCUUUGUGACUGCAAGGCUUGAGUGCGGCAGAGGGGGGUGGAAUUCCGCGUGUAGCAGUGAAAUGCGUAGAGAUGCGGAGGAACACCGAUGGCGAAGGCAGCCCCCUGGGCUAACACUGACGCUCAGGCACGAAAGCGUGGGGAGCAAACAGGA
RNAcentral lists this ribosomal RNA (254 nucleotides) under uncultured bacterium. Its description in RNAcentral is "partial 16S ribosomal RNA". It matches the Rfam family "Bacterial small subunit ribosomal RNA", at positions 524 to 777 of the family's 1533-position model. The record is from RNAcentral.